RNAcentral lists this non-coding RNA (79 nucleotides) under Escherichia coli. RNAcentral describes it as "Nucleoid-associated noncoding RNA 4 (CssrE)". It matches the Rfam family "Nucleoid-associated noncoding RNA 4 (CssrE)". From Rfam's summary of the family: In E. coli small RNA transcribed from repeated extragenic palindromic element (REP325) called nucleoid-associated ncRNA 4 (nRNA4) collaborates HU protein in condensing the DNA. The secondary structure but not the sequence of the RNA is important in nucleoid condensation. RNAcentral also lists the same sequence under 5 other names. Lineage: Bacteria; Pseudomonadati; Pseudomonadota; Gammaproteobacteria; Enterobacterales; Enterobacteriaceae. The record is from RNAcentral.
GGCCGGAUAAGGCGUUCAAGCUGCAUCUGGCGAUACGGUGCACAAUGCCUGAUGCGACGCUGUCGCGUCUUAUCAUGCC